GUAAUUCAACUUAGUACGAGAGGAACCGUUGAUUCAGAUAAUUGGUCUCUGCGGCUGUCCGACCGGGCAGUGCCGCGACGCUACCAUCUGCUGGAUUAUGGCUGAACGCCUCUAAGUCAGAAUCCAUGCCGGGACGCGGCGAUGCGUCCCCGCGCGGCGUAGACGGCUACGGAUAGGCCCUCGGGCCUCGCACCCCAGCGGGUCGGCGACCCGGGCCCGACGGCAAUCGUCGGGUCCGGCGCCGGCGCCUUGCAAUUUGACCCCGUCGCGGGGCAGGAUCCUCUGCAGACGACCGAUGCGUCCGGCCGGGUCGUGUACGUGGUAGAGUAGCCUUGUCGUUACGAUCCACUGAGCGUCAGCCCGU
RNAcentral lists this ribosomal RNA (364 nucleotides) under Ochromonas sp. CCMP1393. RNAcentral's name for it is "partial Eukaryotic large subunit ribosomal RNA". It matches the Rfam family "Eukaryotic large subunit ribosomal RNA", at positions 3019 to 3386 of the family's 3401-position model. Lineage: Eukaryota; Chrysophyceae; Chromulinales; Chromulinaceae. The record is from RNAcentral.